Molecule: ribosomal RNA, 192 nt
Filed under: Escherichia coli
Lineage: Bacteria; Pseudomonadati; Pseudomonadota; Gammaproteobacteria; Enterobacterales; Enterobacteriaceae
Description: partial 23S ribosomal RNA
Rfam family: Bacterial large subunit ribosomal RNA
Source: RNAcentral
GGAAGAGAUAAGUGCUGAAAGCAUCUAAGCACGAAACUUGCCCCGAGAUGAGUUCUCCCUGACUCCUUGAGAGUCCUGAAGGAACGUUGAAGACGACGACGUUGAUAGGCCGGGUGUGUAAGCGCAGCGAUGCGUUGAGCUAACCGGUACUAAUGAACCGUGAGGCUUAACCUUACAACGCCGAAGGUGUUU